CCUACGGGAGGCAGCAGUGAGGAACAUUGGUCAAUGGCCGGAAGGCUGAACCAGCCAAGCCGCGUGAAGGACGAAGGUGCCAAGCAUUGUAAACUUCUUUUGUCAAGGGACAAAAUCAGGCUCGAGAGCCUGACCGAGGGUACUUGAAGAAAAAGCAUCGGCUAACUCCGUGCCAGCAGCCGCGGUAAUACGGAGGAUGCGAGCGUUAUCCGGAUUUAUUGGGUUUAAAGGGUGCGUAGGCGGGCUGUUAAGUCAGCGGUAAAAGCCCGGGGCUCAACCCCGGCGAGCCGUUGAAACUGGCUGCCUUGAGAUGUCGAGAGGUAUGCGGAAUGCGCAGUGUAGCGUUGAAAUGCUUAGAUAGUGCGCAGAACUCCGAUUGCGAAGGCAGCAUACCGGCGGCGAUCUGACGCUGAUGCACGAAAGCGUGGGUAUCAAACAGGAUUAGAUACCCUUGUAGUC
This 459-nucleotide ribosomal RNA is filed under the name uncultured bacterium. RNAcentral's name for it is "partial 16S ribosomal RNA". It matches the Rfam family "Bacterial small subunit ribosomal RNA", at positions 338 to 795 of the family's 1533-position model. The record is from RNAcentral.